Molecule: ribosomal RNA, 460 nt
Filed under: uncultured bacterium
Lineage: Bacteria
Description: partial 16S ribosomal RNA
Rfam family: Bacterial small subunit ribosomal RNA
Source: RNAcentral
CCUACGGGAGGCUGCAGUGAGGAAUAUUGGUCAAUGGCCGGAAGGCUGAACCAGCCAUGCCGCGUGAAGGUCAGUGCCCUAUGGGCGUUAAACUUCUUUUGUGCGGGAGCAAUAAUGGUCACGUGUGGCCAGACGAGAGUACCGUACGAAUAAGCAUCGGCUAACUCCGUGCCAGCAGCCGCGGUAAUACGGGGGAUGCAAGCGUUAUCCGGAGUUAUUGGGUUUAAAGGGGGCGUAGGCUGUGAGGUAAGUCAGCGGGGAAAUGCCCCCGCUCAACGGGGUGAAGUGCCAUUGAUAAUGCCUUGCUGGAAUGCGGAUGCCGUAGGAGGAAUGUGUAGUGUAGCGGUGAAAUGCAUAGAUAUCACACAGAACACCGAUUGCGAAGGCAUCUCACGAAUCCGCGAUUGACGCUGAUGCACGAAAGCGUGGGUAUCAAACAGGAUUAGAUACCCUAGUAGUC